GAUCCUGGCCAGCUUUGCAGGGUGGGCAGUCAGCCUGUGUGCAUAAGGACCAGCUGUGCAAACCCAUGCAAAACUGACCAUGGCC
Non-coding RNA from Oreochromis niloticus (Nile tilapia), 85 nucleotides. The record is from Rfam. NCBI's taxonomy places the organism in Eukaryota, Metazoa, Chordata, Actinopteri, Cichliformes, Cichlidae.